This 490-nucleotide ribosomal RNA is filed under the name uncultured bacterium. RNAcentral's name for it is "partial 16S ribosomal RNA". It matches the Rfam family "Bacterial small subunit ribosomal RNA", at positions 30 to 507 of the family's 1533-position model. The record is from RNAcentral.
AUUGAACGCUGGCGGCAGGCUUAACACAUGCAAGUCGAGCGGUAGCACAGGGGAGCUUGCUCCCUGGGUGACGAGCGGCGGACGGGUGAGUAAUGUCUGGGAAACUGCCUGAUGGAGGGGGAUAACUACUGGAAACGGUAGCUACUACCGCAUAACGUCGCAAGACCAAAGAGGGGGACCUUCGGGCCUCUUGCCAUCAGAUGUGCCCAGAUGGGAUUAGCUAGUAGGUGGGGUAAUGGCUCACCUAGGCGACGAUCCCUAGCUGGUCUGAGAGGAUGACCAGCCACACUGGAACUGAGACACGGUCCAGACUCCUACGGGAGGCAGCAGUGGGGAAUAGUGCACAAUGGGCGCAAGCCUGAUGCAGACAUGCCGCGUGUGUGAAGAAGGCCUUCGUGUUGUAAAGCACGUUCAGAGAGGAGGAAGGUGGUGAACUUAAUACGUUCAUCAAUUGACGUUACUCGCAGAAGAAGCACCGGUUAACUCCGUG